RNAcentral lists this ribosomal RNA (476 nucleotides) under uncultured bacterium. Its description in RNAcentral is "SSU rRNA". It matches the Rfam family "Bacterial small subunit ribosomal RNA", at positions 26 to 518 of the family's 1533-position model. The record is from RNAcentral.
AGGACGAACGCUGGCGGCGUGCUUAACACAUGCAAGUCGAGCGGAAAGGCCCUUCGGGGUACUCGAGCGGCGAACGGGUGAGUAACACGUGAGCAACCUGCCCUUGGCUCUGGGAUAGCCUCCGGAAACGGGGAUUAAUACCGGACAUUCACUGAUCCCUGCAUGGGGGGAUGGUGGAAAGUUUUUCGGCCAGGGAGGGGCUCGCGGCCUAUCAGCUUGUUGGCGGGGUAACGGCCCACCAAGGCGACGACGGGUAGCCGGCCUGAGAGGGCGAUCGGCCACACUGGGACUGAGACACGGCCCAGACUCCUACGGGAGGCAGCAGUGGGGAAUAUUGCACAAUGGGCGCAAGCCUGAUGCAGCGACGCCGCGGUGGGGGAUGAAGGCCUUCGGGUUCGUAAACCCCUUUCACCAGGAACGAAUUCAGACGGUACCUGGGGAAGAAGCGCCGGCUAACGUACGCGCCAGCACGCCGC